This is a long non-coding RNA of Limulus polyphemus (Atlantic horseshoe crab), 506 nucleotides long. RefSeq lists it as uncharacterized. The transcript has 4 exons. NCBI's taxonomy places the organism in Eukaryota, Metazoa, Arthropoda, Merostomata, Xiphosura, Limulidae. The record is from RefSeq and is a predicted model, not a curated record.
GUAAGUGAUUUUCAUUCUUGUAGAAACCGGUAGAUUUGAACGUCUGGGAACGUUGUCGAGCUGCAGUAACAGAUGAAGACAGUGACACUGUGUGGAAAGAGUUCUGUGCUGAGAAACAACCAAAUAAACUGCAGGAAAAGAUGAUACAGUGUUUAAAGAAAAUUGUAAAGGAUCAACCAGCGUGGGACGAUGAGCUAUUGAAGAAAGUUAGGCAAUGUUUUGAAGAAAUCUACAAAUUAUUGGGUCUGACGAAAUAAGCAAAAUGUGACGUUUCACAGGAUACCAUAGUAACUUAGUUCACGAAAAUAAUCGAUUUUAUAACAAUUUCUUCUGGUCUACAUUCGACCUUACAGAGUAAAUUCAAAAUAUCUUAGAUUAGCGAAAUGAUUGGUUCUAUCUCUUGAGUUUUAGUAAAUAUGAACAUUGUAUUAUCUAGUUUAUAUUAUUCUUUAUGUUUUUGUGGCUACAUAUCAAAUCAAAUCAUUAAAAUCUUUAAUUAAGAAGAA